This is a long non-coding RNA of Felis catus (domestic cat), 2511 nucleotides long. RefSeq lists it as uncharacterized. The transcript has 6 exons. NCBI's taxonomy places the organism in Eukaryota, Metazoa, Chordata, Mammalia, Carnivora, Felidae. The record is from RefSeq and is a predicted model, not a curated record.
CUCAAGAAACGCACACAUUCAAAAGUCUGGCCUCGCCCCUUGGGCCCCGCGGCAUUUCCGAGUAACCGGCUUUCUGAUGCAUAAUGAAGACGUUUCUUUGCUGGCGACGAGCGCACUUUAAAAUUAGCAGAGUGUUUCUUAACAUGUGAUCCAAGGUGCUUCUCUCAAAGUUUGAAUCUGAAAAUUGCUCUCUGAUGUCCAUCUAAGACAACUUCCAUCAGAAUAAAGCGUGGCCCAGUUAUCUUACAAGUCCGUGGACAUUGUAUAUGAACCAAACACAAGAAGACCCUGAAAGGAAACAAGGAGAGAGGGACUAGGCACCUUGUGACCCAAGGAGUGACAUGAUGAAUGCACUGCCCGGGGCGCUCUCUCCUCGGCGCCGGCUGGCUCAGCAGAAAGCUGCGGGGAAGCUGGCGGAGAGCUUAGUCACGGCCUUUCGAACCCUCCUCCACUGCUUCCAAGUUCAAAGGAGAGAAGAAACGAGAAACGAGGCCUCCCAGACCUUCACAGGGAGACACCCUGCCGGAGCAGCACCAACCAUCUCCCAAGCAGCCCCACCAUUACCCUCUUCAUCAUUGCAGAAGUACAACGAUAGGAUGGAGACUACUUUGAAGCACCUGCUGUGUGCAACCUCAGUGCCAAGUGCCCUCGUACCUGCCCUGGAGCCCUCCCGGCCGCCUGACCACGUGGAUACUGUUAGCCCUCCUUAGAGACGAGAGAGCUGAGUCUCAGAGACACAGAUUAACUUGCCAGAGAGCACACGAGGAGAGGAUGGAGGAGCUGGAAGGGGCCCCACCCCUGCUGCCCCCGUUCUUUCAAGACACCAUCCAGCCUCAGGAAUACAAAAGAAAAGGGAACGUAUUCCAGUUACUCCUGGAAGCGCACACACGCAGGGAGUCCCCAGCCUGUUCCCCACACACGACCCGAUGUCCUCACCUGUCUCCCCGACCUCUUCUUUUUCCACCUUCUGUCGCAUCUUUCUUCACCCCUACCACGUGGCACCAGUGUUGACUGAGGCACCUGACUGCACACUAAGGACUGAAUUUUCCAGUUGACGCUGGUCCAAGGGUCUGGGUGGGGAGUGGCUGCUUAAAUGGGUACAGAAUUCCUUUUGGGGGGAAUGCAUUCGCUCUGGAGCUAGAGACAGACGGUGGGGGCACAACAUUGGGAAUGUGCGAAAUGCCACUGGAUUGUUCACUUUAAAAUGAUUAAUUUUAGGUGAUGGGAUUUUCACCUGAGUAAAUUAAAAAGGCUUGGGAAAUGUCCAACAAAGGAACUCCAUGGCUGAUUGUUUAAAAAUAUUUUAAUGUUUAUUUAUUUUUGAGAGACAGAGUGCGAGUGGGGGAGGCACAGACAGAGGGAGACACAGAAUCCGAAGCAGGCUCCAGGCUCGAGCUGUCACCACAGGGCCUGAUGCGGGGCUCAAACUCAUGAACCAUGAGAUCAUGACCUGAGCCAAAGUCGGACCCUCAACCGACUGAGCCACCCAGGCGCCCCGUGGCUGAUUGUUUUUAAUACUGUCCCAGCCUAACAGCGCAUCAUGCCUCCUUCUUUGCUGGAAGCACGCUCUCAUCAGAUGUGUCCAGGCAGCAGGGAACAGUUCCCUGAGACCCCUGUGGUGUGGGCAGGUUGUUAGGUGAGUCACAAUGGGACAGAGUUUCGGAUGCCCUGCCCUCUCUCCCAUCUCAACAUCUCCCAUGCCUACACAUCCUGUUCACACUAAAGUUGAGGCAAGACAGGAUAUCCAGAGACUUGGAGGUCAGGCUUACCAAAAAGUGACUCAGUGAAAUGGAUUCUCAGUGCACCUGUCCCUCAGAGACUAAGACUUCUCCUUGUGACACUUCUAGAAAACCAAUGACAGACAGAACUGCCCGCCUACGUCCUGGAACACCCUCCCCAGGGAGCAUGAUGAGGCAGCUUCCUAAUUGCUGGGUGGCCUCUGAAUGCUGUGACCCUCUGAGACAUGUCACCUGGCAGGUUCUCCAAGAGGUGCUGCCUGUCCCACAGGCUGCAAGAGGCCACGGAAGGAGCAGGACCAGCCUGGCCACAGCUGUGAGCCUUCUUGACGAGAGAAAGAUACCAAGAGCAAAACGCAGCUGAACUUUCCCAACAGAGGUGUCCAGACAAAUCCCUGAACACACACGUUCACAGCAGCAUGACAAUAACCAGAGGCGGAAGCAUCUCCAGUGGCCAUCAGUGGAUGAGUGGAUAAACAAAUUGUGGCAGAUCCCUACCAUGGAAUAUUACUCAGGCGUAAAAAGGACUAAAGCACUGACACCUGUAUGAUGUUAACAACAACCCCCCCCCCUUAAACAUUAUACUCUGUGAAAGAAGCCAGACACACAAAGGACCCAAUAUUGCAUGAUUCCAAUUAGAUGAACUAUCUAGAAGAGUAAAUUCAUAGAGACAGGAAGCACAUUGGUGGUUUCGAGCAUUACGGAGAGGGGUGUAGGGGAACAGGGCUUGAUUGCUUAGUGGGUAUGAGGUUCCCAUGAUGAAAAUGUUAUGGAA